Molecule: long non-coding RNA, 1262 nt
Organism: Ctenopharyngodon idella (grass carp)
Lineage: Eukaryota; Metazoa; Chordata; Actinopteri; Cypriniformes; Xenocyprididae
Exons: 3
Source: RefSeq, a predicted model, not a curated record
AUGCAUACUAUGGACUUUCUACCUUACCUCCAACAUCUUUGUCUCCAUUGCUCCUCAUGAUCUUCUCAUCUGGGCUCCUCAGAAGAUCCCUUCCUCAUCGUCACCUGUCUCCAUCACGUUUCACUUCCUCACUCACCUGGAACCCACUUAUCGUCAGCAACUGAGCUACGUUUUAUGCUGUAGUGGACAACAGAUAGAGAUGGAGCUGAUGGAGGCGAAGACCCAGGUGGAGCCGAAGAGUUGAUGAGACGGAGCGACACUGAUGGAGACAGUGUGCCAGAGGAGCAGGUGGGACUGAGGACCAAGGCGCAGCCAGAGGGAAGGCGGAGCCUGAUAGAGCGAAUGGGUGGAGGGGAGGGGACGAAGCGCAGCCGAAGGCCAGGAAGUCUGUGGUGCAGGCAAAACGAUGUCGAACCAAGGCAGAGCCGGAGGGACGAUGGAGCCAGGUGGAGUCGUAAGGACAAUGGUCCCAGGUGGAGUUGAGGGAGGGAGGAGCCAAGGUCAGCAAAGCCCCUGCCGUAGAUGUGCAGAGAAGUUCAUUUGUUAUUGAAGCCAUCCAAUUACCUUGAUGACUGUGCCAGGAACCAGGCAGUGAGAAAGCCAGAGGUGCCAAUAGUCAUAGCAGUAUGUGAUGAAUACUGCAGGGGCACCAACUGGGUUGGUGCGUUCUUGCACCACCUCGGCAUGACCCAGAGUUCCCAACUCUUAAUCGAGUAGGUGAUAAGUUUUCUCUCAUUUUCCCAUUGAGGGCCAGCUGGGACAGAGUCAAUUAAACCUACUGUGGUGUGGGAGUUACAGACUCCACAAGCCCAUGAUUAUCUCCCACAACUCCAAAAGGAUCAUCACAUUUACAGAUAAGGAAGAAGGAGAUCUGUCUGCACUCUUUAUUUGGAAAUGGUAUAAGAUUAAGUCACAUUUUCAUAUGUAGCUACACUGAAUAAUCCAGCUUCAUUGCCAUAUGCAGGUAGAUGCCAUCUGCAAAUCUGGUCAUUUCUGAUAUCAUAAAACAAAAUAUCAUAUCAUUAAGGUCUUAUCUUAUAACUUCACCAAUGAGCUGUAGCAUAGUCAUGUUGUUGUAGGACACUGUGGUAAUCAUGGAAAAAUAUGCAGCCGCAGGAACAAAAAUCUCUUCUAAUGGAAGCACAGAUUUAAUUAAAAAGAACAUGACUCAUGAAAACAAACUUUUACAUUGUCAAAGUGUAUAGAAUUAAACAAGCAACUGAAUGGCAACAUUUUUAUAACAAUUAAAGAGGUCAUUAUUA